UACGUAGGUGGCAAGCGUUGUCCGGAUUUACUGGGCGUAAAGAGCGCGCAGGCGGCUGGUCAAGUCCGAUGUGAAAUCUCCCGGCUUAACUGGGAAACUGCAUCGGAAACUGAUCGGCUUGAAGGUGGGAGAGGGUAGUGGAAUUCCCGGUGUAGUGGUGAAAUGCGUGGAUAUCGGGAGGAACACCAGUGGCGAAGGCGACUACCUGGCCCAUUCUUGACGCUGAGGCGCGAAAGCUAGGGGAGCGAACGGG
This 253-nucleotide ribosomal RNA is filed under the name uncultured bacterium. RNAcentral's name for it is "partial 16S ribosomal RNA". It matches the Rfam family "Bacterial small subunit ribosomal RNA", at positions 524 to 776 of the family's 1533-position model. The record is from RNAcentral.